CUAGCAUAUCAAUAAGCGGAGGAAAAGAAACCAACAGGGAUUGCCCUAGUAACGGCGAGUGAAGCGGCAACAGCUCAAAUUUGAAAUCUGGCUCUUUUAGAGUCCGAGUUGUAAUUUGCAGAGGGCGCUUUGGCUUUGGCAGCGGUCCAAGUUCCUUGGAACAGGACGUCACAGAGGGUGAGAAUCCCGUACGUGGUCGCUGGCUAUUGCCGUGUAAAGCCCCUUCGACGAGUCGAGUUGUUUGGGAAUGCAGCUCUAAAUGGGAGGUACAUUUCUUCUAAAGCUAAAUAUUGGCCAGAGACCGAUAGCGCACAAGUAGAGUGAUCGAAAGAUGAAAAGCACUUUGGAAAGAGAGUCAAACAGCACGUGAAAUUGUUGAAAGGGAAGCGCUUGCAGCCAGACUUGCUUGCAGUUGCUCAUCCGGGCUUUUGCCCGGUGCACUCUUCUGUAGGCAGGCCAGCAUCAGUUUGGGCGGUAGGAUAAAGGUCUCUGUCACGUACCUCUCUUCGGGGAGGCCUUAUAGGGGAGACGACAUACUACCAGCCUGGACUGAGGUCCGCGCAUCUGCUAGGAUGCUGGCGUAAUGGCUGUAAGCGGCCCGUCUUGAAACACGGACCAAGGAGUCUAACAUCUAUGCGAGUGUUUGGGUGUCAAGCCCGAGCGCGUAAUGAAAGUGAACGGAGGUGGGAACCCGCAAGGGUGCACCAUCGACCGAUCCUGAUGUCUUCGGAAGGAUUUGAGUAAGAGCAUGGCUGUUGGGACCCGAAAGAUGGUGAACUAUGCUUGAAUAGGGUGAAGCCAGAGGAAACUCUGGUGGAGGCUCGCAGCGGUUCUGACGUGCAAAUCGAUCGUCAAAUUUGGGCAUAGGGGCGAAAGACUAAUCGAACUAUCUAGUAGCUGGUCCUGCGA
This 909-nucleotide ribosomal RNA is filed under the name Alternaria alternariae. RNAcentral's name for it is "LSU rRNA". It matches the Rfam family "Eukaryotic large subunit ribosomal RNA", at positions 34 to 964 of the family's 3401-position model. The record is from RNAcentral. Lineage: Eukaryota; Fungi; Ascomycota; Dothideomycetes; Pleosporales; Pleosporaceae.